RNAcentral lists this transfer RNA (63 nucleotides) under Cicadellidae sp. 'Neodcortus squaras'. RNAcentral's name for it is "tRNA-Thr". The record is from RNAcentral. Lineage: Eukaryota; Metazoa; Arthropoda; Insecta; Hemiptera; Cicadellidae.
GUUUUAAUAUUUUAAAAUAAAAAGUUAGUUUUGUAAACUAAAAUUAGAGAAAUCUUUAAAACU